This 1116-nucleotide long non-coding RNA is filed under the name Nicotiana benthamiana. RNAcentral's name for it is "long non-coding RNA (NBEN_LNC020799)". Lineage: Eukaryota; Viridiplantae; Streptophyta; Magnoliopsida; Solanales; Solanaceae. The record is from RNAcentral.
CUGAAUGAGGUCAGCCAUUUCAGUACCGGUGGUAUCAUAUCUUUGUGCAAUUGACAUGACAAGACGAACAUUACUCAUUGCAAGCUUUUCUCUAGCCAAGGAACACUCUAUUAAUGUAGAUCGUAAAUCAGCACGAGAUAUUUUCAAGGAAACCGCGAGUUGAUCGUCAGAAGGUUCACAUCCCAAUCUUUCCUUCAGCCUAAAAUUUUCCAUGUAUUAAACAAGAUGGGUAAGUCAUCUCUAGAACCUGGCUCAUCGCAAGCUUUUCUCUAGCCAAGGAACACUCUAUUAAUGUAGAUUGUAAAUCAGCACGAGAUAUUUUCAAGGAAACCACGAGUUGAUCAUCAGAAGGUUCACAUCCCAAUCUUUCCUUCAGCCUAAAAUUUUCCAUGUAUUAAACAAGCUGGGUAAGUCAUCUCUAGAACAUGUUGAUGGAAGUCAUUGGAUAAAAAAAAACCAGAAGAAACUUUCAAAUUGCAGCUGAAAUUUCCAGUCCAACACACCACCUCCAAUUUUAUUAACAUUUUCCCUUUGAGAAUGUAAGCUGUCAUUAAGGUUGAAACCACAGCCUUCAAGAAAGCACAGCUACAUUUUGACCAUUAUAGAGGGAGACAUGCUAAGGGGUAAGGAAUUCUCUAGAAUAUCUAAACACAGAGGUACCAUUUCUUCUCCAGCAUUCCGCCUCCAAUUUUUUUAUUUACCUCUUACUCCAUUUUUUAUUAGAUAAGGAAGCUAGUAAACACUGGCAACAUAACACCGGCUUAAAUGUGGUUCAAUCUGACAACAUUCUCAAGGGCAUAAAAACUUUUUAUAUUGAGUUUCAAGCUUUACAAUAACAUUUGUAGCAAUUUGACCUCCAAAAUUGUGAAAGAGGUGUAUUUAGGAAAACGUACAAAGCAUAGUUGGAGAAUCUCGGGAACAAAAUGUUUGGCGGGUAUUUGAGAAGAAGGAUUAACCUGUGUGUUUCUCGCGGGUAAAGCAUAAGAGGGUAAUUCAUACAGUUCUCUUUCAUAGUUCAUUUCACUCUUUCUACAAAUUUCAUUAGUUCUUUAUAGCCAUUUUCACUACUAAAGUCUCAUACGAUGUUUGAGAAAGUAGGGUGGUAGAGUUGGAUCG